UACAGAGGGUGCGAGCGUUAAUCGGAAUUACUGGGCGUAAAGCGUGCGCAGGCGGUAAUGUAAGACAGAUGUGAAAUCCCCGGGCUCAACCUGGGACCUGCAUUUGUGACUGCAUUGCUGGAGUGCGGCAGAGGGGGAUGGAAUUCCGCGUGUAGCAGUGAAAUGCGUAGAUAUGCGGAGGAACACCGAUGGCGAAGGCAAUCCCCUGGGCCUGCACUGACGCUCAUGCACGAAAGCGUGGGGAGCAAACAGG
This 253-nucleotide ribosomal RNA is filed under the name uncultured prokaryote. RNAcentral's name for it is "partial 16S ribosomal RNA". It matches the Rfam family "Bacterial small subunit ribosomal RNA", at positions 524 to 776 of the family's 1533-position model. The record is from RNAcentral.